This 497-nucleotide ribosomal RNA is filed under the name uncultured bacterium. RNAcentral's name for it is "partial 16S ribosomal RNA". It matches the Rfam family "Bacterial small subunit ribosomal RNA", at positions 28 to 507 of the family's 1533-position model. The record is from RNAcentral.
GAUGAACGCUGGCGGCGUGCCUAAUACAUGCAAGUCGAGCGAACGGACGAGAAGCUUGCUUCUCUGAUGUUAGCGGCGGACGGGUGAGUAACACGUGUAUAACCUACCUAUAAGACUGGGAUAACUUCGGGAAACCGGAGCUAAUACCGGAUAAUAUUUUGAACCGCAUGGUUCAAAAGUGAAAGACGGUCUUGCUGUCACUUAUAGAUGGUUCCGCGCUUCAUUAGCUAGUUGGUAAGGUAACGGCUUACCAAGGCAACGAUGCAUAGCCGACCUGAGAGGGGGAGCGGACACACUGGAACUGAAACACGGUCCAGACUCCUACGGGAGGCCGCAGUAGGGAAUCUUCCGCAAUGGGCGAAAGCCUGACGGAGCAACGCCGCGUGAGUGAUGAAGGUCUUCGGAUCGUAAAACUCUGUUAUUAGGGAAGAACAUAUGUGUAAGUAACUGUGCACAUCUUGACGGUACCUAAUCAGAAAGCCACGGCUAACUACGUG